CAGUGCCCAUGGUGCAGUGUGAUGUGGCAUGCCAGAACAGCACGUGCUACAAAGAGGACAUGCUAGGAUGCUGCCAUCCUCAGUGCGUGGGCGGCUGCACGGACGGCUGGAUCAAUUCCGCAUGUCACUACUGUCGCCAUUUCUACUACAAAGGCAGGUGUAUAGAAGACUGUCCAGACGGCACAUAUUAUAUUGGCGGGGACUGUAUAGAUCUCAACUGAGACUAACGGCACUUAAUGACAUCGGCGAUGACUUCAUGUAUCUAGGAAUAGCGGCACUAAUACCAGGAUGUUUUUUUGUGCCAAUCUAUUGUAUUUUCCUUAUAAUGAUCAAUUACAUGAAUAAAUAAUGCUGAU
This is a long non-coding RNA of Dreissena polymorpha, 356 nucleotides long. RefSeq lists it as uncharacterized. The record is from RefSeq and is a predicted model, not a curated record. Lineage: Eukaryota; Metazoa; Mollusca; Bivalvia; Myida; Dreissenidae. The transcript has 2 exons.